AGAUUGAACGCUGGCGGCAUGCUUUACACAUGCAAGUCGAACGGUAACAGGCCGCAAGGUGCUGACGAGUGGCGAACGGGUGAGUAAUGCAUCGGAACGUGCCCAGUCGUGGGGGAUAACGCAGCGAAAGCUGUGCUAAUACCGCAUACGAUCUAUGGAUGAAAGCGGGGGACCAAAGGCCUCGCGCGAUUGGAGCGGCCGAUGUCAGGUUAGCUAGUUGGUGGGGUAAAGGCCCACCAAGGCGACGAUCUGUAGCUGGUCUGAGAGGACGACCAGCCACACUGGAACUGAGACACGGUCCAGACUCCUACGGGAGGCAGCAGUGGGUAAUUUGGACAAGUGGGCGCAAGCCUGACUCCAGCAAUGCCGCGUGCAGGAAGAAGGCCUUACGGUGUAAACGUGUACGUUUUGGUAACCGGUAACGAACGGUAC
Molecule: ribosomal RNA, 432 nt
Filed under: uncultured soil bacterium
Lineage: Bacteria
Description: bacterial SSU rRNA
Rfam family: Bacterial small subunit ribosomal RNA
Source: RNAcentral